CAGUAGCCGCGGGAAUACGAAGGGUGCAAGCGUUAAUCGGAAUUACUGGGCGUAAAGCGUGCGUAGGCGGUUUGUUAAGUCUGCUGUGAAAUCCCCGGGCUCAACCUGGGAAUGGCAGUGGAUACUGGCAAGCUAGAGUGUGUCAGAGGAUGGUGGAAUUCCCGGUGUAGCGGUGAAAUGCGUAGAGAUCGGGAGGAAUACCGAUGGCGAAGGCAGCCAUCUGGCCUAAUACUGACGCUGAGGUACGAAAGCAUGGGGAGCAAACAGGAUUAGAUACCCCAGUAGUCCCUGUCUCUUAUAC
This 301-nucleotide ribosomal RNA is filed under the name uncultured bacterium. RNAcentral's name for it is "partial 16S ribosomal RNA". It matches the Rfam family "Bacterial small subunit ribosomal RNA", at positions 509 to 807 of the family's 1533-position model. The record is from RNAcentral.